GCAUGUUUGUCUUAUGUCAGGAAAUAUGUUCCCAAACACUUGUGGGUGCCAGGUCCGAUGUGCACACCGAAGACACAGUGCUGACUAAGCCCUCUCCCUGCCCCUUUAAGAAGCUCUCCAUGGACAAAACUGUACUGAUGUCUGGUCACAACUGUGGAACGCAAAGUGGCAAGGAGGCGCCAAGACCCUGAAGUAAAACACGAAGAGUGACAGGAGAUUGUGUGUGUCAACUUGGCUGAGCCAAGGUGUGCUUAGGUGUGCAGUGAUGUGACGUCUGAGUGUGUGGGAGCCUCUGGAGUAGAUCAGUGUUGGAACCAGUAGGUUGAGUGGAGCAGACUGUUCUUCCUGCGGACGGGUUGUGCUCUGUCUACUGGAGCCUUGAAUAGAGCAUCCAGGAAGAGGAAGGGGAAAUUAAGCUCUUUGUCUGGCUGUCCCUAAACUGAGAUCGAUCUCUCCUUUUGCCCUUAGACUGGCAUGUAGACCAGCCGCCUUCCUGGGCCUCCAGUUUACAGAGGCAGAUGGUGCGGCUUCUUCACACGAGUUAAUUCCUCCUAAUCAGUCUAUAUCCCCUCCACAGUCUUCUCUACCAUCUCUAUCACCUCUGUCAUCUCUACAGUCCCCAUCAUCUCCAUCAUCUCCACCAUCUCUAUUUCUAUCUCAAUUGUCUUCAUCUCCAGCCUCUCUGUCUCCAUUAUCUCUAGCUCAUCUAUCUUUAUUUCUGCCUCUAUCAUCUCUAUAUCUCUGUUAUUUCCAUUUCUAGCUCUGUCAUCUCCAGCUCUAGUAUCCCUAUCUUACUUUCAUCUCUAUCUAUCUCUACCAUCUAUCUCUCCUGUUCUUAUUUCUCUGGAGAACUCUGACUAAUAUGCAGGAUAUAGGAAUACUGUACAGUAUAGGGAUAUUUGAGUUGGGUUUUGAGGGGUGUAUAGGAGUUUUAAAGGCAGGUAAGUUACGAAAGAUAUUGUAGGCAGAAGGAACAGAAUGUAUAUUAUUAUUUAUUAUUAUUUAAAUUUUUUUUGGUCUUUUUGAGACAGAGUCCCCCUUUAGUCCCAGCUGGCUUGGAACUCAUUGUGUAGACCAGGCUGACCUUGACCUCACAAAGACCUACCUGCAUCUGCCUCCCGAGUGCUGGGAUUAAAGGGAAGCUUCCAGAAGUACAGGAGACUGAAAUAGCUGAAGAUGGUCAUAACUCUUCCUAAAGUCGUGGGGUCACCCUGGACCAUCCCAGCUCUCAUGGUGCCUAAAACUGUGAGACAGAGACAGAUGCACAGAGAAAACCGGGUCACUGUCAUUGUACCUGGCAAGCUCUACGCCGCAACAGAAGACACAGUGGGUUGGGCACAGAAACUCAACAGCACCAAAGUCACCCUGAGACAGUGGCUCCUGAGUUCACUGUCUCAUACCAGCGAGGAUUAAAGAUGUGGAUACUCAUGGGGUUCGGCAAAGUGGAAACAAGAUUUAAGAAGGGAAACAAAGGAAAAGUGUGAACUGAAAGAAAAAUAA
Nannospalax galili (Upper Galilee mountains blind mole rat) is the source of this 1500-nucleotide long non-coding RNA. RefSeq lists it as uncharacterized. The transcript is spliced from 3 exons. The record is from RefSeq and is a predicted model, not a curated record. NCBI's taxonomy places the organism in Eukaryota, Metazoa, Chordata, Mammalia, Rodentia, Spalacidae.